This 1487-nucleotide ribosomal RNA is filed under the name uncultured organism. RNAcentral describes it as "bacterial SSU rRNA". It matches the Rfam family "Bacterial small subunit ribosomal RNA". The record is from RNAcentral.
UGAUCCUGGCUCAGAAUGAACGUUGGCAGCAUGGAUUAGGCAUGCAAGUCGAGCGUGCGUCUUUGGCGCAAGCGGCGAAAGGGUGAGUAAAGCAUAGGUAAUUACCCAUAUGUUCGGGAUAACAUCCUUAACGGGUUGCUAAUACCGGAUGCUGCGUAACAUCUGCAUGGAUGAUAUGUAAAAGGCGGAGAGAUCUGCCGCAUAUGGAGGAGCUUAUGUCCUAUUAGCCAGCUGGUGGGGUAACGGCCUACCAGGGCGAUGAUGGGUAGCCGGGUCGAGAGGCUGUCCGGCCACACUGGGACUGAGACACUGCCCAGACUCCUACGGGAGGCUGCAGUCGAGAAUCUUCGGCAAUGGACGAAAGUCUGACCGAGCGAUGCUGCGUGGAUGAUGAAGGUCUUCGGAUUGUAAAAUCCUGUUAGAAGCUAGGAAAUUUAUUGUAUGUAACUAUGCAGUAAUUGACAUAAACUUCAAAGAAAGCCACGGCUAAAUUCGUGCCAGCAGCCGCGGUAAUACGAAUGUGGCGAACGUUAUUCGGAAUUACUGGGCGUAAAGGGCGCGUAGGCGGUGAUACAAGUCUGAUGUGAAAUCCCCCGGCCUAACCGGGGAAUUGCGUUGGAAACUGUAUUGCUUGAGUGUGACGGGGGGAAGUGGAACUCCAGGUGGAGCGGUGAAAUGCGUAGAUAUCUGGAGGAACGCCGGCGGCGAAAGCGGCUUCCUGGGUCAUAACUGACGCUGAGGCGCGAAAGCCAGGGUAGCGAACGGGAUUAGAUACCCCGGUAGUCCUGGCCGUAAACGAUGGAUACUUGAUAGUAGGGGAGUUGGUGCCUUUACUGUCGUAGCAAACGCGUUAAGUAUCCCGCCUGGGGAGUACGACCGCAAGGUUGAAACUCAAAGGAAUUGACGGGGGCUCACACAAGCGGUGGAGCAUGUGGUUUAAUUCGAAGCAACGCGAAGAACCUUACCAGGACUUGACAUAUAGGUAUUAAUGAUUUGAAAGAUGAUUGAGCCGGGAAACCGGCAGCCUAUACAGGUGUUGCAUGGCUGUCGUCAGCUCGUGCCGUGAGGUGUCGAGUUAAGUCUCUUAACGAGCGAAACCCUUGCCGCUAGUUACCAUCAUUAAGUUGGGGACUCUAGUGGGACUGCCGCGUAAAAGUUGGAGGAAGGCGAGGACGACGUCAAGUCAUCAUGGCCCUUACAUCCUGGGCGACACACGUGCUACAAUGGUCGAUACAGAGGGAAGCGAAGUCGUGAGGCGGAGCAAAUCCCAGAAAGUUGGCCCUAGUUCGGAUUGAAGGCUGCAAUUCGCCUUCAUGAAGCUGGAAUCGCUAGUAAUCGCGGGUCAGCCAUACCGCGGUGAAUAUGUUCCUGAGCCUUGAACACACCGCCCGUCAAGCCACGGAAGCUUGGAGUACCUGAAGUCGCUGACCUAACAAUUUAUUUUGGAGGAAGUGCCGACGGUAAGCUGAGUGACUGGGACUAAGUCG